GAUGAAGAACGUAGCGAAAUGCGAUAAGUAAUGUGAAUUGCAGAAUUCAGUGAAUCAUCGAAUCUUUGAACGCACAUUGCGCCCGCCAGUAUUCUGGCGGGCAUGCCUGUUCGAGCGUCAUUUCAACCAUCAAGCCCCCGGCUUGUGUUGGGGACCUGCAGCUGCCGCAGGCCCUGAAAAGCAGUGGCGGGCUCGCUGUCACACCGAGCGUAGUAGCAUACAUCUCGCUCUGGGCGUGCUGCGGGUUCCGGCCGUUAAACCACCUUCAUAACCCAAGGUUGACCUCGGAUCAGGUAGGAAGACCCGCUGAACUUAAGCAUAUCAAUAAGCGGAGGA
This 336-nucleotide unclassified non-coding RNA is filed under the name soil metagenome. Its description in RNAcentral is "partial contains 5.8S ribosomal RNA, internal transcribed spacer 2, and large subunit ribosomal RNA". The stretch from base 1 to 120 matches the Rfam family "5.8S ribosomal RNA", at positions 35 to 154 of the family's 154-position model. The record is from RNAcentral.